CUUCUUUGUCUGACGAGUGGCGGACGGGUGAGUAAUGUCUGGGAAACUGCCUGAUGGAGGGGGAUAACUACUGGAAACGGUAGCUAAUACCGCAUAACGUCGCAAGACCAAAGAGGGGGACCUUCGGGCCUCUUGCCAUCGGAUGUGCCCAGAUGGGAUUAGCUAGUAGGUGGGGUAACGGCUCACCUAGGCGACGAUCCCUAGCUGGUCUGAGAGGAUGACCAGCCACACUGGAACUGAGACACGGUCCAGACUCCUACGGGAGGCAGCAGUGGGGAAUAUUGCACAAUGGGCGCAAGCCUGAUGCAGCCAUGCCGCGUGUAUGAAGAAGGCCUUCGGGUUGUAAAGUACUUUCAGCGGGGAGGAAGGGAGUAAAGUUAAUACCUUUGCUCAUUGACGUUACCCGCAGAAGAAGCACCGGCUAACUCCGUG
RNAcentral lists this ribosomal RNA (432 nucleotides) under uncultured bacterium. RNAcentral's name for it is "bacterial SSU rRNA". It matches the Rfam family "Bacterial small subunit ribosomal RNA", at positions 79 to 507 of the family's 1533-position model. The record is from RNAcentral.